RNAcentral lists this ribosomal RNA (1216 nucleotides) under Ocellularia minutula. Its description in RNAcentral is "partial 18S ribosomal RNA". It matches the Rfam family "Eukaryotic small subunit ribosomal RNA", at positions 156 to 1277 of the family's 1831-position model. The record is from RNAcentral. Lineage: Eukaryota; Fungi; Ascomycota; Lecanoromycetes; Ostropales; Graphidaceae.
UUCUAGAGCUAAUACAUGCUGAAAACCCCGACUUCGGAAGGGGUGUAUUUAUUAGAGAAAAAACCAAUGCCCUUAGGGGCUCCUUGGUGAAUCAUGAUAACUUAACGAACCGCAUGGCCUUGCGCUGGCGGUGGUUCAUUCAAAUUUCUGCCCUAUCAACUUUCGAUGGUUAGGUAUUGGCUAACCCAUGGUCUCAACGGGUAACGGGGGAUUAGGGUUCGAUUCCGGAGAGGGAGCCUGAGAAACGGCUACCACAUCUAAGGAAGGCAGCAGGCGCGCAAAUUAUCCAAUAGCAACACGCUGAGAUAGUGACAAAAAAUACGAAUCGAGAGCUCAUUUGGGCUUUCGAAUUCGAAUGAGUACAAUUUAAAUCCCUUAACGAGGAACAAUUGGAGGGCAAGUCUGGUGGUAAGUUCGAAUUAAAUAAUUAUCACGUUCCGAAGCUAACGCCUUUAAAGCCAGCAGCCGCGGUAAUUCCAGCUCCAAUAGCGUAUAUUAAAGUUGUUGCAGUUAAAAAGCUCGUAGUUGAAUUUUGGGCCUGGCUGACCGGUCCGCCUCACCGCGUGCACUGGUUCGGCCGGGCCUUUCCUUCUGGGGAGCCGCAUGCCCUUCACUGGGCGUGCCGGGGAACCAGGACUUUUACUUUGAAAAAAUUAGAGUGUUCAACGCAGGCCUAUGCUCGAAUACAUUAGCAUGGAAUAAUAGAAUAGGACGUGCGUCCUCAUUUUGUUGGUUUCUGAGGGUGCCGUAAUGAUUAAUAGGGGUGGUCGGGGGCGUCGGGUAUGUAUUUUCUUCAACUAUUACGAAUCAUGCACUAACACGUAAGUAGUAUUCAAUUGUCAGAGGUGAAAUUCUUGGAUUUAUUGAAGACCAACUGCUGCGAAAGCGUUCGCCAAGGACACUUUCAUUAAUAAUUUGAACGAAAGUCAGAGGAUCGAAGACGAUCAGAUACCGUCGUAGUUUUGACCAUAAACUGUGCCGACUAAGGAUCGGGUGGUGUUAUUGUUUUGACCCACUCGGCACUUUACGAGAAAUCUUUAAGUUUUUGGGUUCUGGGGGGAGUAUGGUCGCAAGGCUGAAACUUAAAGAAAUUGACGGAAAGGCACCACCAGGCGUGGAGCCUGCGGCUUAAUUUGACUCAACACGGGGAAACUCACCAGGUCCAGACACAGCGAGGAUUGACAGACUGAGAGAUCUUUCUUGAUUCUGUGGGUGG